GGCUUAGGAUGAACGCUAGCGACAGGCCUAACACAUGCAAGUCGAGGGGCAGCACAAGGAGCAAUCUGAGGUGGCGACCGGCGCACGGGUGAGUAACACGUAUGCAACCUGCCUGUAAGCGGGGAAUAACCCGUUGAAAGACGGACUAAUACCGCAUAAUACUAAAUUACUGCAUGGUAAUUUAUUUAAACAUUUAUGGCUUACAGAUGGGCAUGCGCAUGAUUAGCUAGUUGGAGAGGUAACGGCUCCCCAAGGCAACGAUCAUUAGGGGUUCUGAGAGGAAGGUCCCCCACACUGGUACUGAGACACGGACCAGACUCCUACGGGAGGCAGCAGUGAGGAAUAUUGGUCAAUGGACGAGAGUCUGAACCAGCCAAGUCGCGUGCAGGAAGAAUGUCCCUAUGGAUUGUAAACUGCUUUUGCAGGGGAAUAAAGUGCAUCACGUGUGAUGUUUUGUAUGUACUCUGCGAAUAAGGAUCGGCUAACUCCGUGCCAGCCGCCGC
RNAcentral lists this ribosomal RNA (503 nucleotides) under uncultured bacterium. RNAcentral describes it as "bacterial SSU rRNA". It matches the Rfam family "Bacterial small subunit ribosomal RNA", at positions 21 to 518 of the family's 1533-position model. The record is from RNAcentral.